UGGGCUUGACAUGCCGGGAAUCCUUUGGAAACAUUGGAGUGCCCCCAGUUCGCUGGGGGAACCUGGACAC
Molecule: ribosomal RNA, 70 nt
Filed under: uncultured bacterium
Lineage: Bacteria
Description: partial 16S ribosomal RNA
Source: RNAcentral